CAAUUUCACCCACUCUUCCACUCACACUUAUAAGCUGACCCACUCUUCCACCCACACUUAUAAACUGAUUUCACCUAUAAAAGCCUCCAUCCUUUAACGCCUAUUCAUCCCAAAAUCAAUUCUUCUCAUUGAGCUUUCUACUUAAUUCAGUUUCCCAAUCUUGAGCUUCUUCUCAAUCAUAUUCUACAGCAGCUGAACAAUAGAAUAAUCUCAUAAUAAUUUCAUAAAACAAAGGAUCGCCUUUUACUCAACCAUCGACUGGCUUUGUGACCAGGGGGAUUAGCGCUGCUUUCCCAAGACAGGUUUUUAUGUGUAUGAUCUUCAGGCUUUGCCUAUCCAGGUGGGCUUACUUUCCAAAUGUACAAAGUAUGAUUGAGUUAUUAAGCUCUAAAUGUUUCAAUGAAAUGCAAAUUGUUUAUUUAAUGUAAUGAAAACUGUUUAUCCAAUAAAAUGUUUAUGUGCACUCUGCUCUGUUUAAGGCUCGCAUAAGUUAAUCGAUCGAGGUUCUCUUAUGACCUAACACGUUAUUUGAGAAUUGUGUACACCUAUUAGCUGACUCGGUGGGUUGAUCUCCAUUCGGGCACUAAUCAUGUAUGAGGCGUUAUAAGGGUGCUCGACGGGAUGUGUUCCGGAGCAUUGGGUCCCAAAUGGGAACUUGACUGGGUUACGCCCUCAGUUCAAGUAAAGCGGGAGAUAUGGAUCCGUCGGUGGCUAAAAGGUCCGGGAUCACAGCGAGUAACAGAAAGGGAGUGUGACAUGUGCGCACAAAUGAAAAAUGUUUUAACAUGCUUAGAAGUUAUUUCAUUUUAAAACCUUCUAAGUCAUGUCAAGUAUAAUUGGAUAAACUGCUCUUACGAAAAUAUGAAAUGUUUAUGAAAAUGCAUGCCCACUAAGUACAUUAGUACUUAGCCCAAAAAUACUUUCAAAUGUUUUCAGGUUGGCUGGCUGGUGCUGACGGGACGGAGCUGAGGCUAGAGUUAAAAUUCAUAUGUUAGACUUCCGCUGUAGCAAUUACUCUUAUACAUCUUUUGUUUUCUCAACUUAAGAUGACUUCAUGUCGAGCUUAAAUUUGAAAUUCUACUUUUAUGCUAAUGAAUGUUGGUUGUCAGAAACAUGAAACAAAACUUGUGAUCCAAAGGGGCAUAGCCCGACUUUCUAUCCUAUUUCGGGUUUUUACAAGGUUGUUCCUUGUUUAUUUCUA
Salvia miltiorrhiza (redroot sage) is the source of this 1201-nucleotide long non-coding RNA. RefSeq lists it as uncharacterized. The transcript is spliced from 3 exons. NCBI's taxonomy places the organism in Eukaryota, Viridiplantae, Streptophyta, Magnoliopsida, Lamiales, Lamiaceae. The record is from RefSeq and is a predicted model, not a curated record.